GGGACGAAGCCGAAGCCAUUGAAUUGCGAUCACUUGCAAGAGCUCUUCUAGCGGUCUCCCCAGCACGAG
This 69-nucleotide non-coding RNA is filed under the name Karlodinium veneficum. The record is from RNAcentral. Lineage: Eukaryota; Dinophyceae; Gymnodiniales; Kareniaceae.